RNAcentral lists this ribosomal RNA (428 nucleotides) under Bacillus subtilis. RNAcentral's name for it is "bacterial SSU rRNA". It matches the Rfam family "Bacterial small subunit ribosomal RNA", at positions 43 to 461 of the family's 1533-position model. The record is from RNAcentral. Lineage: Bacteria; Bacillati; Bacillota; Bacilli; Caryophanales; Bacillaceae.
GGUGCCUAAUACAUGCAAGUCGAGCGGACAGAUGGGAGCUUGCUCCCUGAUGUUAGCGGCGGACGGGUGAGUAACACGUGGGUAACCUGCCUGUAAGACUGGGAUAACUCCGGGAAACCGGGGCUAAUACCGGAUGGUUGUUUGAACCGCAUGGUUCAAACAUAAAAGGUGGCUUUGGCUACCACUUACAGAUGGACCCGCGGCGCAUUAGCUAGUUGGUGAGGUAACGGCUCACCAAGGCAACGAUGCGUAGCCGACCUGAGAGGGUGAUCGGCCACACUGGGACUGAGACACGGCCCAGACUCCUACGGGAGGCAGCAGUAGGGAAUCUUCCGCAAUGGACAAAAGUCUGACGGAGCAACGCCGCGUGAGUGAUGAAUGUUUUCGGAUCGUAAAGCUCUGUUGUUAGGGAACAACAAGUACCGUCC